ACGGGUGCGGAACACGUACGCAACCUUCCUUCAAGCGGGGGAUAGCUUUCGGAAACGAAAAUUAAUACCCCAUAGAAUUGUCUGAGGGCAUCUGAGGAUAAUUAAAGAUUUAUCACUUGAAGAUGGGCGUGCGCCUGAUUAGGUAGUUGGCGGGGUAACGGCCCACCAAGCCUACGAUCAGUAACUGGUGUGAGAGCACGACCAGUCACACGGGCACUGAGACACGGGCCCGACUCCUACGGGAGGCAGCAGUAAGGAAUAUUGGUCAAUGGACGCAAGUCUGAACCAGCCAUGCCGCGUGGAGGAUGAAGGUCCUCUGGAUUGUAAACUUCUUUUAUCGGAGAAGAAACCCCUGAAUUCUUUUAGGGUUGACGGUACCCGAUGAAUAAGCACCGGCUAACUCCGUGCCAGCAGCCGCGGUAAUACGGAGGGUGCAAGCGUUAUCCGGAUUCACUGGGUUUAAAGGGAGCGUAGGUGGGCUGGUAAGUCAGUGGUGAAAUCUCCGGGCUUAACUCGGAAACUGCCGUUGAUACUAUCAGUCUUGAAUGUUGUGGAGGUAAGCGGAAUAUGUCAUGUAGCGG
RNAcentral lists this ribosomal RNA (581 nucleotides) under Niastella sp. StRD629. Its description in RNAcentral is "bacterial SSU rRNA". It matches the Rfam family "Bacterial small subunit ribosomal RNA", at positions 102 to 681 of the family's 1533-position model. The record is from RNAcentral. Lineage: Bacteria; Pseudomonadati; Bacteroidota; Chitinophagia; Chitinophagales; Chitinophagaceae.